Ornithodoros turicata is the source of this 165-nucleotide long non-coding RNA. RefSeq lists it as uncharacterized. The record is from RefSeq and is a predicted model, not a curated record. The transcript is spliced from 3 exons. NCBI's taxonomy places the organism in Eukaryota, Metazoa, Arthropoda, Arachnida, Ixodida, Argasidae.
CUGACGCGAGUUCCAUGAGUUCUUUGAGUGGAGUAGAGUCGGCGAGCGAGAUGUCGCAAAGCACGGUCGGAGCUGCAGGAGCAGCUCCAACAAGAGAGUGAUAGCAAUAUCCGUUGCUGCGCUGGGCUUGCUGUUGAUAGGUGGGGCUGUCAUAUUUGCUUUCAC